This 415-nucleotide ribosomal RNA is filed under the name Equus quagga burchellii (Burchell's zebra). RNAcentral describes it as "Equus burchellii quagga partial 12S ribosomal RNA". It matches the Rfam family "Bacterial small subunit ribosomal RNA", at positions 801 to 1402 of the family's 1533-position model. Lineage: Eukaryota; Metazoa; Chordata; Mammalia; Perissodactyla; Equidae. The record is from RNAcentral.
CCUAAACUAAAAUAACUCAUCACAACAAAGUUAUUCGCCAGAGUACUACUAGCAACAGCCUAAAACUCAAAGGACUUGGCGGUGCUUUACAUCCCUCUAGAGGAGCCUGUUCCGUAAUCGAUAAACCCCGAUAAACCCUACCAUCUCUUGCUAAUCCAGCCUAUAUACCGCCAUCUUCAGCAAACCCUAAACAAGGUAUCGAAGUAAGCACAAUCAUCCAACAUAAAAACGUUAGGUCAAGGUGUAGCCCAUGGGAUGGAGAGAAAUGGGCUACAUUUUCUACUCUAAGAACAAGAACUUAACCCAAACGAAAGUCUCUAUGAAAUUGGAGACCGAAGGAGGAUUUAGCAGUAAAUUAAGAAUAGAGAGCUUAAUUGAAUAAGGCCAUGAAGCGCGCACACACCGCCCGUCACCC